RNAcentral lists this ribosomal RNA (372 nucleotides) under uncultured organism. Its description in RNAcentral is "bacterial LSU rRNA". It matches the Rfam family "Bacterial large subunit ribosomal RNA", at positions 2099 to 2465 of the family's 2925-position model. The record is from RNAcentral.
CUUUACUGUAACUUGAUAUUGAUUUUGAGUUUUGCUUGCGCAGAAUAAGUGGGAGGCUGUGAUAUUAUUUUUAGGGGUAAUUUGAGCUGUGAUAUGAGAUACCACUCUAGAUGGACUAAAAAUCUAAUAUUUAAUCUUAUUUAAAAUUAAGUUGAUAGACAAUUUCAAGUGGACAGUUUUACUGGGGCGGUAGCCUCCUAAAAGGUAACGGAGGCGUACAAAGGUUUUUUCAAUUUAUAUGGUAAUUAAAUAUAGAGUGUAAAGGUAUAAAAAAGCUUGACUGUAAGACAUAUAAGUCGAACAGGGACUAAAGUCGGUCUUAAUGAUCCGGCGAUACUAAAUGGAAAGGUCGUCGCAAACAGAUAAAAGUUA